This 1372-nucleotide ribosomal RNA is filed under the name uncultured bacterium. Its description in RNAcentral is "bacterial SSU rRNA". It matches the Rfam family "Bacterial small subunit ribosomal RNA", at positions 28 to 1381 of the family's 1533-position model. The record is from RNAcentral.
GAUGAACGCUGGCGGCGUGCCUAAUACAUGCAAGUCGAGCGAACGGACGAGAAGCUUGCUUCUCUGAUGUUAGCGGCGGACGGGAGAGUAACACGUGGAUAACCUACCUAUAAGACUGGGAUAACUUCGGGAAACCGGAGCUAAUACCGGAUAAUAUUUUGAACCGCAUGGUUCAAAAGUGAAAGACGGUCUUGCUGUCACUUAUAGAUGGAUCCGCGCUGCAUUAGCUAGUUGGUAAGGUAACGGCUUACCAAGGCAACGAUGCAUAGCCGACCUGAGAGGGUGAUCGGCCACACUGGAACUGAGACACGGUCCAGACUCCUACGGGAGGCAGCAGUAGGGAAUCUUCCGCAAUGGGCGAAAGCCUGACGGAGCAACGCCGCGUGAGUGAUGAAGGUCUUCGGAUCGUAAAACUCUGUUAUUAGGGAAGAACAUAUGUGUAAGUAACUGUGCACAUCUUGACGGUACCUAAUCAGAAAGCCACGGCUAACUACGUGCCAGCAGCCGCGGUAAUACGUAGGUGGCAAGCGUUAUCCGGAAUUAUUGGGCGUAAAGCGCGCGUAGGCGGUUUUUUAAGUCUGAUGUGAAAGCCCACGGCUCAACCGUGGAGGGUCAUUGGAAACUGGAAAACUUGAGUGCAGAAGAGGAAAGUGGAAUUCCAUGUGUAGCGGUGAAAUGCGCAGAGAUAUGGAGGAACACCAGUGGCGAAGGCGACUUUCUGGUCUGUAACUGACGCUGAUGUGCGAAAGCGUGGGGAUCAAACAGGAUUAGAUACCCUGGUAGUCCACGCCGUAAACGAUGAGUGCUAAGUGUUAGGGGGUUUCCGCCCCUUAGUGCUGCAGCUAACGCAUUAAGCACUCCGCCUGGGGAGUACGACCGCAAGGUUGAAACUCAAAGGAAUUGACGGGGACCCGCACAAGCGAUGGAGCAUGUGGUUUAAUUCGAAGCAACGCGAAGAACCUUACCAAAUCUUGACAUCCUUUGACAACUCUAGAGAUAGAGCCUUCCCCUUCGGGGGACAAAGUGACAGGUGGUGCAUGGUUGUCGUCAGCUCGUGUCGUGAGAUGUUGGGUUAAGUCCCGCAACGAGCGCAACCCUUAAGCUUAGUUGCCAUCAUUAAGUUGGGCACUCUAAGUUGACUGCCGGUGACAAACCGGAGGAAGGUGGGGAUGACGUCAAAUCAUCAUGCCCCUUAUGAUUUGGGCUACACACGUGCUACAAUGGACAAUACAAAGGGCAGCGAAACCGCGAGGUCAAGCAAAUCCCAUAAAGUUGUUCUCAGUUCGGAUUGUAGUCUGCAACUCGACUACAUGAAGCUGGAAUCGCUAGUAAUCGUAGAUCAGCAUGCUACGGUGAAUACGUUCCCGGGUCU